Molecule: ribosomal RNA, 2925 nt
Filed under: Escherichia coli
Lineage: Bacteria; Pseudomonadati; Pseudomonadota; Gammaproteobacteria; Enterobacterales; Enterobacteriaceae
Also listed under: 1 other name
Description: bacterial LSU rRNA
Rfam family: Bacterial large subunit ribosomal RNA
Source: RNAcentral
GGGUUGUGAGGUUAAGCGACUAAGCGUACACGGUGGAUGCCCUGGCAGUCAGAGGCGAUGAAGGACGUGCUAAUCUGCGAUAAGCGUCGGUGAGGUGAUAUGAACCGUUAUAACCGGCGAUUUCCGAAUGGGGAAACCCAGUGUGUUUCGACACACUAUCAUUAACUGAAUCCAUAGGUUAAUGAGGCGAACCGGGGGAACUGAAACAUCUAAGUACCCCGAGGAAAAGAAAUCAACCGAGAUUCCCCCAGUAGCGGCGAGCGAACGGGGAGGAGCCCAGAGCCUGAAUCAGUGUGUGUGUUAGUGGAAGCGUCUGGAAAGGCGUGCGAUACAGGGUGACAGCCCCGUACACAAAAAUGCACAUAUUGUGAGCUCGAUGAGUAGGGCGGGACACGUGGUAUCCUGUCUGAAUAUGGGGGGACCAUCCUCCAAGGCUAAAUACUCCUGACUGACCGAUAGUGAACCAGUACCGUGAGGGAAAGGCGAAAAGAACCCCGGCGAGGGGAGUGAAAAAGAACCUGAAACCGUGUACGUACAAGCAGUGGGAGCCUCUUAAUGGGGUGACUGCGUACCUUUUGUAUAAUGGGUCAGCGACUUAUAUUCUGUAGCAAGGUUAACCGAAUAGGGGAGCCGAAGGGAAACCGAGUCUUAACUGGGCGUUAAGUUGCAGGGUAUAGACCCGAAACCCGGUGAUCUAGCCAUGGGCAGGUUGAAGGUUGGGUAACACUAACUGGAGGACCGAACCGACUAAUGUUGAAAAAUUAGCGGAUGACUUGUGGCUGGGGGUGAAAGGCCAAUCAAACCGGGAGAUAGCUGGUUCUCCCCGAAAGCUAUUUAGGUAGCGCCUCGUGAAUUCAUCUCCGGGGGUAGAGCACUGUUUCGGCAAGGGGGUCAUCCCGACUUACCAACCCGAUGCAAACUGCGAAUACCGGAGAAUGUUAUCACGGGAGACACACGGCGGGUGCUAACGUCCGUCGUGAAGAGGGAAACAACCCAGACCGCCAGCUAAGGUCCCAAAGUCAUGGUUAAGUGGGAAACGAUGUGGGAAGGCCCAGACAGCCAGGAUGUUGGCUUAGAAGCAGCCAUCAUUUAAAGAAAGCGUAAUAGCUCACUGGUCGAGUCGGCCUGCGCGGAAGAUGUAACGGGGCUAAACCAUGCACCGAAGCUGCGGCAGCGACACUAUGUGUUGUUGGGUAGGGGAGCGUUCUGUAAGCCUGUGAAGGUGGCCUGUGAGGGUUGCUGGAGGUAUCAGAAGUGCGAAUGCUGACAUAAGUAACGAUAAAGCGGGUGAAAAGCCCGCUCGCCGGAAGACCAAGGGUUCCUGUCCAACGUUAAUCGGGGCAGGGUGAGUCGACCCCUAAGGCGAGGCCGAAAGGCGUAGUCGAUGGGAAACAGGUUAAUAUUCCUGUACUUGGUGUUACUGCGAAGGGGGGACGGAGAAGGCUAUGUUGGCCGGGCGACGGUUGUCCCGGUUUAAGCGUGUAGGCUGGUUUUCCAGGCAAAUCCGGAAAACCAAGGCUGAGGCGUGAUGACGAGGCACUACGGUGCUGAAGCGACAAAUGCCCUGCUUCCAGGAAAAGCCUCUAAGCAUCAGGUAACAUCAAAUCGUACCCCAAACCGACACAGGUGGUCAGGUAGAGAAUACCAAGGCGCUUGAGAGAACUCGGGUGAAGGAACUAGGCAAAAUGGUGCCGUAACUUCGGGAGAAGGCACGCUGAUAUGUAGGUGAAGCGACUUGCUCGUGGAGCUGAAAUCAGUCGAAGAUACCAGCUGGCUGCAACUGUUUAUUAAAAACACAGCACUGUGCAAACACGAAAGUGGACGUAUACGGUGUGACGCCUGCCCGGUGCCGGAAGGUUAAUUGAUGGGGUUAGCGGCAACGCGAAGCUCUUGAUCGAAGCCCCGGUAAACGGCGGCCGUAACUAUAACGGUCCUAAGGUAGCGAAAUUCCUUGUCGGGUAAGUUCCGACCUGCACGAAUGGCGUAAUGAUGGCCAGGCUGUCUCCACCCGAGACUCAGUGAAAUUGAACUCGCUGUGAAGAUGCAGUGUACCCGCGGCAAGACGGAAAGACCCCGUGAACCUUUACUAUAGCUUGACACUGAACAUUGAGCCUUGAUGUGUAGGAUAGGUGGGAGGCUUUGAAGUGUGGACGCCAGUCUGCAUGGAGCCGACCUUGAAAUACCACCCUUUAAUGUUUGAUGUUCUAACGUUGGCCCGUAAUCCGGGUUGCGGACAGUGUCUGGUGGGUAGUUUGACUGGGGCGGUCUCCUCCUAAAGAGUAACGGAGGAGCACGAAGGUUGGCUAAUCCUGGUCGGACAUCAGGAGGUUAGUGCAAUGGCAUAAGCCAGCUUGACUGCGAGCGUGACGGCGCGAGCAGGUGCGAAAGCAGGUCAUAGUGAUCCGGUGGUUCUGAAUGGAAGGGCCAUCGCUCAACGGAUAAAAGGUACUCCGGGGAUAACAGGCUGAUACCGCCCAAGAGUUCAUAUCGACGGCGGUGUUUGGCACCUCGAUGUCGGCUCAUCACAUCCUGGGGCUGAAGUAGGUCCCAAGGGUAUGGCUGUUCGCCAUUUAAAGUGGUACGCGAGCUGGGUUUAGAACGUCGUGAGACAGUUCGGUCCCUAUCUGCCGUGGGCGCUGGAGAACUGAGGGGGGCUGCUCCUAGUACGAGAGGACCGGAGUGGACGCAUCACUGGUGUUCGGGUUGUCAUGCCAAUGGCACUGCCCGGUAGCUAAAUGCGGAAGAGAUAAGUGCUGAAAGCAUCUAAGCACGAAACUUGCCCCGAGAUGAGUUCUCCCUGACUCCUUGAGAGUCCUGAAGGAACGUUGAAGACGACGACGUUGAUAGGCCGGGUGUGUAAGCGCAGCGAUGCGUUGAGCUAACCGGUACUAAUGAACCGUGAGGCUUAACCUUACAACGCCGAAG